RNAcentral lists this transfer RNA (74 nucleotides) under Zea mays. It matches the Rfam family "tRNA". Rfam says of the family: Transfer RNA (tRNA) molecules are approximately 80 nucleotides in length. The record is from Rfam by way of RNAcentral. Lineage: Eukaryota; Viridiplantae; Streptophyta; Magnoliopsida; Poales; Poaceae.
UCCUCAGUAGCUCAGUGGUUGAGCAGUCGGCUGUUAACUGACUGGUCCUGUAGGUUCAAAUCCUACUUGGGGAG